This 388-nucleotide long non-coding RNA is filed under the name Arabidopsis lyrata. RNAcentral describes it as "long non-coding RNA (ALYR_LNC001779)". Lineage: Eukaryota; Viridiplantae; Streptophyta; Magnoliopsida; Brassicales; Brassicaceae. The record is from RNAcentral.
GAAACAUUUUUUAAGACAUAAAGUAUGAUAAACUUUUUUCCUUAAUUCGCGACCUCCUUUUCGUAAACCAUUCGCCUUUUGACAAAUAUAUUAUCCAUAAAAAUAAGCACUCGUGUGGUCGAUAUCUCAUGUCUGUUCUUUACAAAUGGAUUCUUGUUAGGUUUUAGGAUGGCUAUCAAGCCUACCAUCGUCAAAGCGUGCGUGCGAUGGCGAAGGAUAAAGUGAGUUUCGAUCAUUGUUUUCUUCAUUAUUUUUGAAUUUUGAUUCGAUUAAUUUUUUAUGUUGGAUUGAGGUUCACGAAAGUGAUUUUGCAGGUAUGCGUUUUUCUUUCACUGUUGAGGCAGAUUACAAUUGUAUUCCAUAUUUAUAAAAUUCUAGCUAUGUAUAG